GACGAACGCUGGCGGCGUGCUUAACACAUGCAAGUCGAACGGAAAGGCCCUGCUUUUGUGGGGUGCUCGAGUGGCGAACGGGUGAGUAACACGUGAGUAACCUGCCCUUGACUUUGGGAUAACUUCAGGAAACUGGGGCUAAUACCGGAUAGGAGCUCCUGCUGCAUGGUGGGGGUUGGAAAGUUUCGGCGGUUGGGGAUGGACUCGCGGCUUAUCAGCUUGUUGGUGGGGUAGUGGCUUACCAAGGCUUUGACGGGUAGCCGGCCUGAGAGGGUGACCGGCCACAUUGGGACGGAGAUACGGCCCAGACUCCUACGGGAGGCAGCAGGGGGGAAUAUUGCACAAUGGGCGGAAGCCUGAUGCAGCAACGCCGCGUGCGGGAUGACGGCCUUCGGGUUGUAAACCGCUUUCGCCUGUGACGAAGCGUGAGUGACGGUAAUGGGGAAAGAAGCACCGGCUAACUACGU
This 467-nucleotide ribosomal RNA is filed under the name uncultured bacterium. Its description in RNAcentral is "partial 16S ribosomal RNA". It matches the Rfam family "Bacterial small subunit ribosomal RNA", at positions 28 to 506 of the family's 1533-position model. The record is from RNAcentral.